AUGCCCUGAUAUACUGACCCUGAAUCUUUUGUUUAACUGUAAAUAUCAGUAUCAAAAAAAAAAAAAGUAUAAACUGUGUUAACCCAUUGACUUGUUUUUUAAGAGCCAAAAUGCAAAAAAAAAAGAAAACAGUGGGAGGUAGACAGGCUUUGUUCUUGUCUCUGGGGGACAGGAUGCAGGGGUGGAGGGCAAGGGAGGCAACAGGAUUGGAGUCUGUGUAGUAUUAGUCCACUCGUCCUCUGGAAUAUAAUUCUCUGAUGAUGAUGGUACUUUGGGGCAACACUACAGAAAGUACUUUUACUGUUUUAAAAGGACACAUCCUCUGUCUUCACUGAAAAAAAAAAAACGUUUCUGACUUAAUUUCUGCUGGGUCGAAUUGACAACCUUCAAAACUUGGGUAACUUUGUUUUUUUGUUUUUAUUUCUUUACAAUUUUUCUAAUGUACAUUUAUUUUUGAGAGCAAGAGACAGAGUGCGAACAGGGGAGGGGCAGAGAGAGAGAGAGAGAGACACAGAAUCCAAAGCAGGCUCCAGGCUCCGAGCUGUCAGCACAGAGCCCAGUGUGGGGCUCAGACCUUCAAACCGUGAGAUCAUGACCUGAGCCCAGGUUGGAUGCUUAACCUACUGAGCCACCCAGGCACCCCAAAGCUUGGUUAACUUUGAAUAGACUCACACUUUCUAACAUUCUCAGAGUGUGACUGUGUGUCUGCAUCUACUUCCACAAGAUAAAAUGUAGCCUUUGUAGAUAGAUUAAAUUUAGGAUUUAAUGCAUUCUGAAAAUUCAUUUAAAAGACAAGUAAUUGUAUGGGGUGCCUAGGUGGCUCAGUUGGCAAGGUGUCCGACUUCGGCUCAAGUGACUUUGGCUCAGGUCGUGCUUUCAUGGCUCAUGGGUUCAAGCCCCGUGUCAGGCUGUGUGCUGACAGUUCAGAGCCUGGAGCCUGCUUUAGAUUCUGUGUCUCCCUCUCUCUCUCUGCCCCUACCCCUCUCGCAUGCACGCGUUCUCUCUCUCACUCUCAAAAAUGAAUAAACAUUUUAAAAAAAAAAUUUUUUUAAGGUAAUUGUAAUGUGUUCUUCUCCCUAGCCCUCAUCCCUAAGGUUUUUGUUGGUGGUGCCACUGCUGUUGUUUUUAAUACUUUUUAAUUAAAUCCAGAACUGUUUUGCCAUGAUAAAGGCCUUUUAAUGUCAUGGAAGCCAAAUAGCUCAAAGCCUCUAAACCGCUCCCCUCUCACAAAUAUACUAGAGAACAAAGAGAUCGCCAUUCAGUCUUGCUGUCAUUUGGUGUGAAUCCACGUAGCUGGUUUGCUUUGGCAUUCAGAACCCCAUACGCAGGAACACAGACGCUGCCCGCUGCCCACUGCCCACUCAUUAUGCAGAGUACACAUUGCAGGAAUUGGGGCAUCAAAAAUUGGAGGACCAGCACCAGUAUGUUAAACCCCAAUAAAACUUGCAGUGUUUAAAUUUAAAGCAUAAGAAAUAAGAAUUAAACAUGAACUUUCUGGCUUAUAGGGGAAAGAAAUUGGCCUUACAACUAUUGAUGAUAAUUUAGAUUGCUUAGGAAAAUUGUUUUUGUCCAGUGAUGUUAAAGGUGCUGAGGAUUCUGCCAGGAACCAAUAAAGACUAAACUAUCAGCUUGUGGAUGCUAAAAAAUUCUGGGAUGUUGUGGGGUUCUUUCCUGUUUAUUUUGCGUAAUAAUUAGAUUUUCAUAAUACAAAAAAAACUUUUUAACCUCUAAUAUCACUUAGUGAAGAGCAUCAAUUCAUAAAUGCCCCAUGAUGACUCCACCCAACAAACUCCUGUUAAAAUACAUGUAUGUCUUUCAAAUAUUCAUAUAGUGGUAACAGUUGUAAAAUGACAAGUAAAACAGCUCUACCCCCAGUUCUUCCCCAGGAAAUAACCGUCAACAACUUUAAAUCCAAAGCCAUUAUCUAAAACUGACCUAGCUAUUCUGAGGAACCAGUGUUUUUUCCCCUUUGCAGAAAUUGAUACAGAUUGCAGUACUCACUAUCAAGACUGAAGCAUCAAUGUAGGAAAUACUACUGAUAAAGGCAGGAAAGGUUUUGCAAAGGGCAAAAAGACAGCCUGGAAAAGGGCUGCUUCGAGACCUUCUAAGCUUCCUUUCACAAGGUAACAACACUUGGGAGAUCCUGCCUCCACAAAGGUCAACUGGAAAGCAAGGGAUAACCUAACAUCUAACAUUUAUUGCGUUCUCCAUGUAUACCAGGCAUUUUGCUAAGAGCUUUUCAUGCAUCAUCGCUUUUAUCCCUCAUAACAACCUCAUGAGAUACACUGUUGGCCCUGAUUUUCAAAUGCAAAUACCAGGGGCGCCUGGUGGAGGACUCCUGGUAAGGUUACACACCUAGUUACCUAGUGGAGUUGGGCCCUGUUAAGAGUCCCGUCCUCUGACUCCAGCACCCACUUUCUUAAUAAUUAUUUUCUGGGGGCUUUCACGUAAAAAAUUAUACAUUGUAUCAUAAGCAGUGAUUGAGAACUAUGCCAUGUCAUCCACACAAUAAUUCCCAACACUGGGGCCCAUUCGAAAUGUGUUAAAGGUUAUUAGAAGGCCUGCCUUCUUCCUAGAAAAAACAAGUAUAUGCCAACAAGUGUGCAUGUAGAACUCACUCAUAUAUGAUAUCUUUAUGGGCCCACUUAUUCCAGUUACUUAGGCAAUGGAAGAACAUUUUAGAGUUUUCCACUGAAAGAGGUUUGAAGAGCUCUGGUGUUGAACAGUGGCUCAUUUCUCUGCCAAAGUGUAUGACAUGUAUCUUUAAGGGUUUUCAGUGGACUCAUUUUAACAUGGCUUGCUUCUGGGUGUCUCUUCCUUAAAAACGAAGAAGUUAUAGUUUGUAAUGAAUUGCUAUUUCUCCUGGUUAUUUAUUCUUGGAGAAAGUCUGUCAGACCUUUUAACUUUUCUGAAUUGCUUCUUGGCUAGAGGAAAAUGUGAAAGAUGACACAAAUGGAAAUUAUAAAGGUUGUCAGUAAUAUGACUCCUUUUGCCCACGUAUCAUUAUCGUAAAUAUGUGAACACAGGCCUUCAAAACAUUUUGUACAUUUGAGCCUUAGUAGGAUUUAGGACUCUUUUUUUUUUUUUUUUUUUUUUUUUUUAAUCCCUUUUAGCAAGAGAGAAAUAGCAAGGGAAUAGUCAAGGGUGAUAGUACCCCCAUUGGAGGUUUACUGAAUAAGCUAUAUGAGCUAUAGACUAUAUUCCAAAUAAAUCAGUUUUUCCAUUAUGUGUUCAUUUUCUCUGCAGGCAAGAGCUUUAAACUUUAUGCUUGAUUAAGGAACAUUCCUUAGCUCAUGGGGAUUUCUGAUAGUUAACCUGUUCAUUACAGGUCUUUUAAUUGCCUACUCUGUAUCAGGUACCCUGCUCUUUGCUAAGGGAACUAUUCACAAGAAAGCUUUAAAAAAGAAGAAGAAAACAAAGCUGAUUUUUUUUUCUUAAAAUGUUUCUAAUUGAUUUCCUCAAAAUAGAGCAGAAUCCCAAAUCCCUGCUGGUAUCUAUAUCAUUCUUCUUUUGCUUUUAGUUCAGUAUUCUAUUUCUACAUUUUCCUUUCCCAGGAACAGUCAAUAAAUGACACAGUUGAAAACACUAAACAAUGCAUGGCUACAAUAGGAGUUCAAAGGAGAUACCAGGGAGAGACAGUCUUGAUCUGCAGGUAGGGAAGGCUGGAUAGGAGUUGGAUGGGGGAAAAGGUCAUUUAA
Long non-coding RNA from Acinonyx jubatus (cheetah), 3698 nucleotides. RefSeq lists it as uncharacterized. The record is from RefSeq and is a predicted model, not a curated record. The transcript has 2 exons. Lineage: Eukaryota; Metazoa; Chordata; Mammalia; Carnivora; Felidae.